This 433-nucleotide ribosomal RNA is filed under the name uncultured bacterium. RNAcentral describes it as "partial 16S ribosomal RNA". It matches the Rfam family "Bacterial small subunit ribosomal RNA", at positions 29 to 507 of the family's 1533-position model. The record is from RNAcentral.
AAUGAACGCUGGCGGCAUGCCUAACACAUGCAAGUCGAACGAGAACUUCGGGUCUAGUGGCGCACGGGUGCGUAACGCGUGGGAAUCUGCCCUUGGGUUCGGAAUAACUCGACGAAAGGCGUGCUAAUACCGGAUGAUGACGUAAGUCCAAAGAUUUAUCGCGCAAGUAUGUGCCGGCGUGGGAUUAGCUAGUUGGUGAGGUAAAGGCUCACCAAGGCGCCGAUCCAUAGCUGGUCUGAGAGAAUGGUCAGCCACACUGAGACUGAGACACGGCCCAGACUCCUACGGGAGGCACCAGAGCGUGAUAUUGCACAACGGCGUGAGGGCUGAACCACCUCGGACCCGAGAACUCUGUAGUCCGUGAGGUUGUAAAGCGCAUUUACCCAUGAUCGUAAUGACCGUACCGGAACAAUAAGCCCCGGCUAACUCCGUG